UACGUAGGGGGCGAGCGUUGUCCGGAAUGACUGGGCGUAAAGGGCGUGUAGGCGGCCGAUUAAGUCUGGAGUGAAAGUCCUGCUUUCAAGGUGGGAAUUGCUUUGGAGACUGGUUGGCUUGAGUGCGGAAGAGGUAAGUGGAAUUCCCAGUGUAGCGGUGAAAUGCGUAGAGAUUGGGAGGAACACCAGUGGCGAAGGCGACUUACUGGGCCGUAACUGACGCUGAGGCGCGAAAGCGUGGGGAGCGAACAGGAUUAGAUACCCUGGUAGUCCACGCUGUAAACGAUGAAUGCUAGGUGUAGCGGGUAUCGACCCCUGCUGUGCCGCAGUUAACACAAUAAGCAUUCCGCCUGGGGAGUACGGCCGCAAGGUUGAAACUCAAAGGAAUUGACGGGGGCCCGCACAAGCAGCGGAGCAUGUCGUUUAAUUCGAUGCAACGCGAAGAACCUUACCAGGUCUUGACAUCCAACUAAACUCAUGGAGACAUGAGGUCCCUUCGGGGGAGUUGAGACAGGUGGUGCAUGGUUGUCGUCAGCUCGUGUCGUGAGAUGUUGGGUUAAGUCCCGCAACGAGCGCAACCCUUAUGAUCAGUUACUAACGGAUAAAGCCGAGGACUCUGAUAAGACUGCCGGGGACAACUCGGAGGAAGGUGGGGACGACGUCAAAUCAUCAUGCCCCUUAUGACCUGGGCUACAGACGUGCUACAAUGGCGACUACAAAGAGGUGCUAGACCGUAAGGUUACGCGGAUCUCAAAAAAGUCGUCCCAGUUCGGACUGUGGGCUGCAACCCGCCCACACGAAGUUGGAGUUGCUAGUAAUCGCGGAUCAGAAUGCCGCGGUGAAUACGUUCCCGGGCCU
RNAcentral lists this ribosomal RNA (858 nucleotides) under uncultured bacterium. RNAcentral describes it as "SSU rRNA". It matches the Rfam family "Bacterial small subunit ribosomal RNA", at positions 524 to 1381 of the family's 1533-position model. The record is from RNAcentral.